RNAcentral lists this unclassified non-coding RNA (402 nucleotides) under soil metagenome. RNAcentral's name for it is "partial contains 5.8S ribosomal RNA, internal transcribed spacer 2, and large subunit ribosomal RNA". The stretch from base 1 to 121 matches the Rfam family "5.8S ribosomal RNA", at positions 35 to 154 of the family's 154-position model. The record is from RNAcentral.
GAUGAAGAACGUAGCGAAAUGCGAUAAGUAAUGUGAAUUGCAGAAUUCAGUGAAUCAUCGAAUCUUUGAACGCACCUUGCGCCCUUUGGCUAUUCCGAAGGGCAUGCCUGUUUGAGUAUCAUGAACACCUCAACUCUUCACGGCUUGCCGUGAUGAGUUUGGACUUUGGGGGUCUUGCUGGCCUACGAGCCAGCUCCUCUCAAAUGUAUUAGCUUGCCGGUGUUUGGUGGCAUCACAGGUGUGAUAACUAUCUACGCUUGUGGUUUUCCACUAGGUAACCUUCAGCAAUGGAGGUUCACCGGAGCUCACAAAUGUCUCUCCUUGCCAAGGACAGAUUUUGACCAUUUGAUCUCAAAUCAGGUAGGACUACCCGCUGAACUUAAGCAUAUCAAUAAGCGGAGG